This 267-nucleotide unclassified non-coding RNA is filed under the name plant metagenome. RNAcentral's name for it is "partial contains small subunit ribosomal RNA, internal transcribed spacer 1, and 5.8S ribosomal RNA". The record is from RNAcentral.
UUUCCGUAGGUGAACCUGCGGAAGGAUCAUUAACGUACAAAAUGUGAGGGGCAUGCGAGGGAUGUCGCUUACCCACAAGGCGUGCACGCCCGAGUGUGUCCUCUUCCAUAAUAAUCCAUUUCACCCUUUGUGCAUCACCGCGUGGGCACGCGUCGGGAUCAUCUCGGAGGGGGGCGCGCGUUUUAACCCAAACCCUCCUAUUAAAAGUGUAGAAUGACCACAUUUAUGCAAUCAACACAACUUUCAACAACGGAUCUCUUGGCUCUC